GAACGCACCUUGCGCCCUUUGGCUAUUCCGAAGGGCAUGCCUGUUUGAGUAUCAUGAACACCUCAACUCUCAUGGUUUGCCAUGAUGAGCUUGGACUUUGGGGGUCUUGCUGGCCUAUGGUCGGCUCCUCUCAAAUGAAUCAGCUUACCAGUGUUUGGCGGCAUCACAGGUGUGAUAACUAUCUGCGCUUGUGGUUUCCCGCUAGAUAACCUUCAGCGAUGGAGGUUCGCUGGAGCUCAUAAAUGUCUCUCCUCAGCGAGGACAGCACUUUGACUGUUUGAUCUCAAAUCAGGUAGGACUACCCGCUGAACUUAAG
This 316-nucleotide unclassified non-coding RNA is filed under the name uncultured fungus. RNAcentral describes it as "sequence contains 5.8S rRNA gene". The record is from RNAcentral. Lineage: Eukaryota; Fungi.